CCUACGGGAGGCUGCAGUGGGGAAUAUUGCACAAUGGGCGCAAGCCUGGUGCAGCCAUGCCGCGUGUGUGAAGAAGGCCUUCGGGUUGUAAAGCACUUUCAGCGGGGAGGAAGGCGGUGAGGUUAAUAACCUCAUCGAUUGACGUUACCCGCAGAAGAAGCACCGGCUAACUCCGUGCCAGCAGCCGCGGUAAUACGGAGGGUGCAAGCGUUAAUCGGAAUUACUGGGCGUAAAGCGCACGCAGGCGGUCUGUCAAGUCGGUUGUGAAAUCCCCGGGCUCAACCUGGGAACUGCAUUCGAAACUGGCAGGCUAGAGUCUUGUAGAGGGGGGUAGAAUUCCAGGUGUAGCGGUGAAAUGCGUAGAGAUCUGGAGGAAUACCGGUGGCGAAGGCGGCCCCCUGGACAAAGACUGACGCUCAGGUGCGAAAGCGUGGGGAGCAAACAGGAUUAGAUACCCUAGUAGUC
Molecule: ribosomal RNA, 465 nt
Filed under: uncultured Klebsiella sp.
Lineage: Bacteria; Pseudomonadati; Pseudomonadota; Gammaproteobacteria; Enterobacterales; Enterobacteriaceae
Description: bacterial SSU rRNA
Rfam family: Bacterial small subunit ribosomal RNA
Source: RNAcentral